AUGCUCACUUUGGCAGCACAGAUACUAAAAUUGGAAUGAUACAAAGAAGGUUCCCGUAGUCCCUGCACAAAGAUGACAGGCAAAUUCUUGAAGCAUUCCAUGUUUUG
Lemur catta (Ring-tailed lemur) is the source of this 107-nucleotide small nuclear RNA. The record is from RefSeq and is a predicted model, not a curated record. NCBI's taxonomy places the organism in Eukaryota, Metazoa, Chordata, Mammalia, Primates, Lemuridae.